This 468-nucleotide ribosomal RNA is filed under the name uncultured bacterium. Its description in RNAcentral is "partial 16S ribosomal RNA". It matches the Rfam family "Bacterial small subunit ribosomal RNA", at positions 28 to 507 of the family's 1533-position model. The record is from RNAcentral.
GACGAACGCUGGCGGCGUGCUUAACACAUGCAAGUCGAACGGAAAGGCCCUGCUUUUGUGGGGUGCUCGAGUGGCGAACGGGUGAGUAACACGUGAGUAACCUGCCCUUGACUUUGGGAUAACUUCAGGAAACUGGGGCUAAUACCGGAUAGGAGCUCCUGCUGCAUGGUGGGGGUUGGAAAGUUUCGGCGGUUGGGGAUGGACUCGCGGCUUAUCAGCUUGUUGGUGGGGUAGUGGCUUACCAAGGCUUUGACGGGUAGCCGGCCUGAGAGGGUGACCGGCCACAUUGGGACUGAGAUACGGCCCAGACGCCUACGGGAGGCAGCAGGGGGGAAUAUUGUACAAUGGGCGGAAGCCUGAUGCAGCAACGCCGCGUGCGGGAUGACGGCCUUCGGGUUGUAAACCGCUUUCGCCUGUGACGAAGCGUGAGUGACGGUAAUGGGUAAAGAAGCACCGGCUAACUACGUG